AAACCUCCAUUGAAGUGUUGUAGACCGGAGUGUCCAUCCUCCUCUCGCAAUCUACCCUUCGGGUAUUUAGCUUCAUGGAAUGUGUUGCUCUUUUAAAUUUUUAUACCUUCAUUGAUCUAUCCAUUUAAGUUGUUGGUCGAUGUACAUUGCACCGUUGAUAAUGGAGGUGAGCAUGGCCCUUUUUCAUUCAGUUGGGCACCGAACCAAACGAAUUGCAUUAAUACGGUUUGUUGGAUGCAAAUUGCGUAAUCCCAAGAUCUCCAUAACUAUAACAAAAACAUGCAUAAUUGAGUAGAAAUAUUAGCGCACCUGUUUUAGGAUCCAUUGUUCUUGAAACGGAAGCGGAAACACAAUGUUCCACGCGCAAGUCCUUCUCCUCUAUUGCCCUCCGUAUCACUGGCUCAAUGAGACGGCCCCCCUCACGUGUAGCGUUAGAUAAACGCCCCUUAGGUGAGGAUACAGGUGAGAAUUAGGGUUAGAGAUAUGGUGGUGUGGCAAAUGGAUAACAUCUCUCAUAGAGAGAUCCCAUUUGCCAGUCACCAUUCUCUUACCUUAGGCGUUACAAAAACUUGUGCCACUAGAGAAUGCUUUAUGGUUCCAAUGAACCCACGUAUGUCUUGUCCUUACGGUUAACAUUUAUUUAUGUAUCACGAGACAUAUGCAUGAGGCUAAUAACCAGAUGCCCCUAGCCUUCACUCAAGGUUUAUACAAUCCCUUGAGACUUUAUCAAUAACAACUCAUUCAAAAAUAUUUUAUUGAAUGCAAAAGUUGAUACAUAUCAAACCGUUACAAAGUGUAAUGAACACAGAUGAAAUCUUUAUCAGAGUAAAACCAAAAUAGCUCCCACUAAAUAACAGCAUCUCAUAAUGCUUCUAAGCCUAUACUAAUGACAUGUCACUUAAAUACACAUGGGCAUAGGCCUUUAAUUAGUGGAUCUGCAACCAUAUCAUCUAUGAAAAUAUAUUAUAUUAUUAUGUCACCUUACUGUACCGUUUCCUUUUAGUCAAAAAUUUUGACCACCAUAUAUUUAGACCCCUUGAGACCUCUGUAAUAAAUAAAUAAUACUACAAAUUUGUUAUCUCAAUACAACCGUAUGGAUCUAUUCAUAAAGUUAAAACGAUCAACUCCUUCAUGAGGUUAUGGAGCCUAAAAAGCCAAAAUAAUGUUACUAACACUGCUUACAUAGUAGAAGAUGACAUAGAACUUUAUUUACUGCACUUACUGCUAACAUAAAUAUGUAUUCUGUUAUUGAUUGCAUGUCAUCAGAAUAGCCAGCAAAGUUUACAUCUAAAUACCCUACUAACUGCAAGAAUUUAACAUGUCUAUAAAUUAGCAUAUAAUCCAUUGUCCUCUUUAAGUACAUUAAAACCUUCUCAGCAGCAGUCCAGUGAUCACGUCUUGGAUUUGACCAAUAUCUGCCUAGAAAUCCCGUCACAAAGAUGAUAUUUAGUCUAGUGCAAAUUCGAGCAUAUAUUAUACUUUUAAGUGCACUAACACAAUGUACACCCUUCAAUUAGAUUUUCUCAAUAUCUAAAUAAGGACAAUGUGAUAGAUUUAGUCCAUCACCCUUAACAACAGGAGCAAUUCUUGGCUUACAAUGAUGUAUAUUGAAUAUUUUUAAUAUACAAUCAGCAAAUGUCCUCCGAGAAAAUCUAAUAUAAUAUGGCAAAAACAAUCCUUACAGACCUCAGUACAAUGGACAUAAGAUAUCUAAAUGUCACAACUUGUAAGCAAAAUAUCAUGUACAUAGAGUAUGAAAAAAUAAAUUUUCUCCCACUGACUUUGCAAUAUAUUGAAUUACUUUGUUCACAAUUGAACAAAAUAAUAACACUAUGAAACUUUAAUAAUAUUGUCUAGAAACUUGCUUAAAACUAUGAAUAAAACUUUUCAGUCUACACACAAAUUUACUUGAAACAUUUGUGUCGCGACCUACCCUCGGGGGGAGGGAACAGGUUUAGGGGUAUUGCCCAAAGUAUGGACCUAAGACCCAUGAUUAGGCGCGGGCUCUCCCAAGCCCAUACCCCGCGUGACGUUGGGAUAUUUUUCAUGAAUUUUUGCAUAAAAGGAGUCGCCACUAGCCUAUUGGGGUCGGCUAGAAACCAAGUGAGGCAUGGGAGCGUGCCUCACUUCCUACGCAACCAGAGAAUUUAGGUUCGGGGACUUGAUUACACUAAUUAACCAAUUAGUGCCCUUUCGGUACCUAAUCUUGUUCAUUUUAACAAAAUGAAUUUUUGGCAAGCAAUUUGGAUUGAUUUUAUAUUUAUCCACUAACAUGUGAGGUGAUCAUGCAGGCGCGCAAUCAUUAAAGUAAUAAACACGUGCAAUCAAACAUAAUAAAAUAUGCAAAUUAAACAUGCUACAUAAUAAUAAACGAGCAAAUAAAUGCCUAAUUAUAAUAAACGAGCAAAUAAAUGCCUAAUUACACUAAAAAGGCAGUACAUAACAAUUCCUAGCCAAAUCCUACAUUUUUUGGAUUUUCGAAAUUUUUAAUUUUUUUAAUUUUUUAAAAUUUUUUUUUAAUUAAGAAAAAGGUCGAAUUUUUUUGAAUGCUUUCUGAGUUUUUUUGAAUUUUCGGAAAUAUUUUUGAAUUUUUUUGAAUUUUUUUUUUGAAUUUUUUUUUUAUUUUUAUAAUUAAUUUUUGAAUUUUUUUAAUUUUUUAAUAUAUAUUUAAUAUUUAAUAUUAUUAUACUUCAAUAAAAUGGGUUCGGACCGGGUAAACCCGAUCCGACCCGCGGACCCAACCCGAACCCGGAUCCAACACUUUUAGAUUUUUUUUUUUUAAAAAAAGAAAAAAAGAAAAAGAAAAGAAAAGAAAAUAUUAAAUAUAUAUAUAUAUAUAUAUCCUUUCGGUUGUCUUUUCUCACCGCACACUCUGUGUCCUUUUCUUGCACCUACUGUUCAACAGUCAUUCCCGAAGCCCACUUUUCAUUUUAUAGUUUUCUAUUUUUCAUUUUGCUUUUCUUUUCUUUCUUUUGAUUGAUUUUUUUUGUUUUUUUUUUUAUUCCUUCUUUCUUCCCUUCUGGCCUUUUCACCGAACAUCCCCAUCUAUUGUCUUUCCUUCCCUUUUAUUUUUUUGGGUUUUCCUCUUUCGCUUUUUUUUACUUGCUGGUUCUCCUCUUUUCUUUGUUCUUAUUUUUUUUUAUUCUUUCCCUCCUCCCUUCUGACCUUCUUCAUUACGCUUUCAUGCCCGACUCUUUACCCAGGACAUCCUUCAACCGAGAACCCACCGGCACGACAACACCAGUGAGAGCAACCGCCAUCCUUUCCACCGCCAAAACACCACUAUCUACCCGUUAUCCACUCCGACCGGCAACGACCACCGUCGGCCACGAACACCGACAGCCAAACCAUUUUCGGAUGCAAACAUUCCCACGGCUCAAACACACAUGGUUAUUCCACGAAAAUCGUAUAGAUUCGCAAUGGAAACAUAUAAGAAAGGUACGGUCCAACAUAUAUAUGAGCAAGCGCGAAUCAGACGGAGUUUAAACUUGGGAUGCUUCUCGGUUCUCUUUGGGGCAUUUUGUCAAAUAGUCGAGGUGCAGCAGCUAAAAGGGGCAUACGGACUCACUCGAGGCUCGGAUUCGGGUAAAGAUCAACACAACAACAUGCAUGAGCAACGCUCAAGAUCCGCUAAGGGACAUAUCAAUCACAUUCGAACGGAUGUGAGUACAACAAGUAUCUUUGGGCUUCAACAAACUUGCAGAACUUAGAUAUCGUUUACACAUUUCCACAAGCAUUUGGUGUGCAUUCCUGACAUGGGGAAGUUUCCGCACUAGACAAAUCUAAAUCUCCCUACGACAUAUACUAGAAUAGCUAGCAGCUUUCAAGGAGGACCGGCUCAGACCGAAAUUCGCACGAACUAGUCGGCACGAGCUCCGGCCUAACGCUUCCCGAAAAAAACAAGUACACACAGUCGAGACAAAAGCCUACCUGGUUCAAGAGGAGGAACGCGUCAAAUAGCAACUGACGAACGAACCUCCGGCGACGACCAACCACUCUCUCGAGCUUGCACUUUCUAUCUAGGUCGCUCACUCGCUCCCUCUCCUCCUCGGUCUCUCUCUCUCUCUCUCCGUUUUUUCUUUGUCUUGGGUCCGCCCCCCCUUUUAUCUGUUCAUCCCUUGUUUUCUUUUAAAACUGCCGUUGGUUCCCCUUUUUUUUUGUCCGAAAUGUCUUUUGCUAGCCCACGAAGCCAGCUCUCUUUCUUUUCCAUCUUCAGCUCUAAUUUUCCUCGGUCAGUCCAACCUCCUUGCCUCUAUGUAUGUCUGCGGUCAGUUUUCUCCUUGGGACCGAGUUCAAUCUAUUUUCAGCUACAACAAUUGCAGGUUUUCUUGGACUUCGUCAACUGCAGGAGCUGCCACGCUGCAGCCAAGUGUUCAUUGCUUCCAUUUUUCUGAAAUCGCAGUUGUUGAUCCUCUGCAGAUCCUUCUUCGGCUUCCUCCUAUUCUGUCUUCUGUUCUGUUUCUUUCUUUUUUGCAGGUCUUCGAAGACGACACAGAGGGAAGAAGACCCUCGCUCGUGGGCUGAAAGGGAAAAAGGGGGGUUGGGUUGUUGUUGUUUCUUUCUCUCCUUUUUUUUUUACUUUUUGAUUGAUGAUUUUUUUUUGUAAAAAUAGGUGUCAACAAUUUGUUGCAAAAUCCUCAAAUUGCACAAUAUAGAUUUUGUAUCUAUUUGGCGUAACUCCAUAUCAAAAUAAAUUAUUAUUGCCACGUUCACUCUGAAAGAAUCUUUAAAAAAAACUAGAAAGAAAUAUUUAUUUCUUCACUAUUAACUAUCCACUCAUCUUUCAGAGUGAAAACUUUAGCUACCAAUUUGGCUUUAAAUUCCACAAUCUUUCUUUGAAAUUUUUUUAGUUUUGUACACUUAUUUGCAACUAAUGAACUUAUGAUCUUUAGGCAAGUAAGUUAGUUUCCAAACACUAUGAUGUUUCAUAGAUUGUAUACCGCCUUUUAUGGCAUCUAAUCACAUACUUUAUUAAGAAUAAGAAACGAUGUUUAUAAAUAUGUCAUUACAUCAACCAUACAGUAGAUAUUGUAAUCAUGCUCUCACAAAUAGACUAUAUAAUCUGAUGGUAUAACUGAUCGUCUUUCCCUAACAAAUCUCCUUAAUAAAGCUGCAACCACUUCAUUCUGCACUUGAGAGGUUUAAGAAAUUUCAUUAUAAACUAUAUCAAGAAUAGUACCUUGAAACCACCGCCCGCGGUGGCCGCGCUGGUUUGGGCUUAGUACGCAUUGCGAGGGCGGAGGAGUUCGAAACUUCGUGGUCGCGCUAACGCGCGAUUUAACUGUGGUUCUAGGUCAGCGGUGGGGGCCUAGGUCACCCCAGGGUUUACUCCAAAUAGCGGAAAGCGGCGAAAGGAAGUUCCCUGGGUACCCAAAAAAAAAAAAAUUAGUACCUUGAACCUCAACAAGUUUAGUCUAUGGCACAUGAGAUUCCAUAAUUAUCUAUAUAGGUAAAGACAAAAACAUAGUAACCUCCAUCAUACUAUUAUCUUUAAUAGUCUGAGAGCAGCUAUCCUCUAUAAUUACGCCAAUCUUUAGAAAUUUUAGAAUAUGUGAUUCCAUAAUUCUCGUACCUUCUUUAGGGUCAUAAGAUCAAUACCCCUUUAACAAUUUAGAUAAGAUACAAAAUAAUUGCGAGUGGAUCUGAAUUCCAACGCACUUAAUAUUGGAUUAGAUAACUUCACUUUUGCAUGACACCUCUAAAUUUCAUAUGAUUCAAGUAAUUUAUGUCCAAUUUAUAACUCAAAAGAAGUUUAUGAAACAACUUUGAUAAGAGAUACAUUUUGUAUGUGAAAAAAUUGCUUUCAUAAUAUCAGCCCAAAAAAAAAAAAAAACAGAUAAAUUAGUCUUACUAAUCAUACUCAUCACCAUGUUCAAUAUGGUGCAUUUAUACCUUUCGGCCAAAUCUUUUUGUCAGAAUUUUCAGGUAUAGUAAUUAAAUUACCACCCCAGAAUUUACCAAGUACUUGACAAAUCACCCUUUAAGCUAUUUUUUUUUUGGUAAAGUCACCCUUUAAGCUAUUUCGUAUUGUCAUACUUGCCAAAAUACUCACGGCCACUGUUAAACCUGACAACCUUUUAAGACUAAUUGUAAUUGUUUUAUUUUUUAUCUUGGUCAUUUUCCUUAAAUAGAAAACUUUCGGAGACAACCUUUUAAUCAUAUACGAGAUAUAUAUGUCAUUAGGACUUAAACACAAUCUUUGCAAAUAUGUUCUAAUUUCAAUAUCAGACAAGACAUAAUUUCAAGCAACUAAGGCUUCCAUUAUCUUAUAGCAGUGCAGUCCGCAGGCAAACCUCUUUUCAAGUGUUCCAGAAUGGAACGCUUCAUGGACAGUAAGCAAAUUCAAUUGCUAUUUUCUCAAGCAACAAAUCAUGUGUCCACAACUUAAAAUUUGAAGCAGUAAAAAUCUCAAUAAUAAUGAAGUAAUUAAUUACAGAAAAGGUGACUGAAAACCAAGCAAUAUAUAUAAUUAGCAUCAUGUGAGUACCGUGUAACUUGACAUACAAGUACACAUCCAGAAAUUUAUAUGCAUAAUCAUAUAAUCACCUUUGGGCAAAAUACAUGACAUGCAGUUGUACACUCCCCACAUGAUAGCGGUUAUGAGAAUAUAUUCCAAUUCUUCGUGAAUUCAUCACCUUUAGGCAUAUGAAUCACUAGAAUCAGUCACUCCUCCACCACACUAUCAUGUAUCCCUCCAUAAACUAAUACACAAUCACCUCCUUUGGGAGUAUGACUACGCAUUAGAUCAGGAGACAUCACAAUCAUCAUACGAGACCAAAAUUUGUCAAACCCAAUCAAGCGUGCCACUUUGGCGGUCACUACUCAAUUGAAUCAUUGAAAUUCUCUCAUACUAGGGAUAUAAACUUUACUCCUCACAUACACCAUAUAUAUGUGAUUUUAACUUUAGUGAUAAGGACAGCAUAUCACCAAAAUCACAUAUCAUGCUAAUUACAUUGCUUUAAUCAUUAAUAAAAAUUAAUCAUACAUAUAUAUAAAUAUAUAUACAGCGAACCUGAAAGACAGAUUCCAAUGAGAUCAUUGAUCACAGUAACACAAGAAACUUCUCAUCACAAAGAAUAAAACAUCUCUUAUGCACCCCGAUUACAUAUUACCAGAACAACAUAAAAAGAAUGCUGAUAUAAAAUAUCUCUCACAAAUUAACAUCAAUAGUAAUAUAAGGUGCACCAAAUCAACAAGCUUGACAGCUUAUCCAUUAUCACUCAUGAGUUCAUAAGCCAAAAAAAUAACUCCAAGGCCAACAACUGAUUUAUUAGCCAAUUUUUAAGUAACAAAUUAUCAUUGUAAUCAACCAGUGACCUAUUAAUUGAGUCAAACCAGAGAACUAAAUAUCUAAAAUUUAACAGUAGAUACUAUUGCUCUGCGUAAAUGUUGUCAUACUCCUUAACCAUAAAAAAAUAUUCAACUUGAUAGACAUUAACAUGUGACCAGAUGAGUUCAUGUACCAUAUGCAGUAACUUAAUUGACAUGCAUUACCCACAUACAGCAGAUAUGUUAAUCAGUACAAUCAGUUUGGUCACGAGUUCUUAAGAACGUCUAUCAUUCAAAGAUUACCAGCGUGUCAAGGAGUAUGCUUGAGUAACAAAAGUUUCAUAACCUUUACUGUUUCUCAUCAGCUCAAUACAUAGCUCAAUUACUAUUCCAUAAUGGUUGUAUCUCAUUAAGCCAACUUCAGUUCACAAUAAAGUUUAAUUUUAUUAAUGAAUCACACCAUUAUAAUGUUUAUGUGAUAACAUACCUGUAACCCAAUACUUAUAUUUCCAAAAUCACAAAAAAUAUAAGAAAAAUACGCAAAAAUAUACUAAAAAUACACGUAUUUAGGGUUCCAUAUGUAUUUUCACAUCCAUAAAAUUAUCAAACAUGUAAAAUAAAUACACCACGACAUAGAGGAUGAUCAUACGAACCUAACGCCACCAUCCACGCGCCGAACGAAGGCUCCACGCGCCCACACGCGCCGCCUGAGUGCGCGGCGUGUGAAGCUCACGCGCGGCCUCCGGCGAUGCGCCGCCGACUGUCUUGCUCGUCUCAUCGAGCCCAAUCCGAAUUUAUGAUUUUAUUUUAUUUUUAUUGAACAAAAAAUUUCGAAAAUCACAAAUUAGGGCAAAAACUUUAUGCGUUCAAGUUCUAGGGUUAUGGUGGCUCUGAUAUCACAUGUUGGACGCAAAUUGUGUAAUCCCAAGAUUUUCAUAACUAGACAAAAACAUGCAUAAUUGAGUAGAAAUAUUAGCGCACCUGUUUUGGGAUCCAUUGUUCUUGAAACGGAAGCAGAAACACAAUAUUCCACGCACAAGUCCUUCUCCUCUAUUGCCCUCCGUAUCACUGGCUCAAUGAGGCGGCCCCCCUCACGUGUAGCGUUAGGUAAAUGCCCCUUAGCUGAGGAUACAGGUGAGAAUUAGGGUUAGAGGAGAGACUUGAGCACUAUUUAUAGAGUUUCCAGCCAGUCCCCCUCAUUACGGGCCAGGCUCAACUCGGCCCACACUAGCCAGCCCAUAUUAAACUAAUUAAGAAACAUUCUAUCUCACUUUAGACCAACCAUGUUUUACGGUAACCGUAAAAACAGUAAAUUACAAUAUCAAUUAAUUUAGUCCACAUUAGGAAAACUCUUACACGGUUUACCAAAUCAAACCACACUAUGUUCUUUUUGGUAACUUUUACUCCAUCCUAUUUUUCAAUGCAAGUUGAGCUGCUCACUUCCUUCGGUUUUAUUGGCAAAUUGUGCGGCAAGCCAGACUCUGUUUUUCUGCUUAGCGCGUUCCUUCCCCCUCAACAAAAAAGAGUCCCUCUAAAAUCUAUGGCAUGGACAAAUAUGUGCACUAUUUGGUGGUUUAAAUCAGCACCUAACCUAGCUUUUCACCACAUGUCAUUUUCUAUUGUCUUUAUUAGGAAGCAGCCUUCCAGGAGUUGGUAUUGUUCUAUGCUGAAGAAGUGGUCGAAACUGAUGUUCAAGGUGAAUCUAAGUUCAAAUCAUUGGAUGUAUAGAUCUACGAGAGAAUCCCUAUUUGAGCUUUGCCAUUAAAUUCCGUAUGAUAUCUGACAUUACCGUGCUUGUCGUCCAUUCGAGGUAUCUUCAGACAUUGUAGAUAAGUUGGCGGUGGCUUGUUUGUCUUCGUCCUUUCUUGCCUUUUCAAUUAGUUAAAAUUAUUUCUCAAGUCUUGGCAGCUCUUCCCUCAAGUGAGCAGUUCUCUUAAUGUUAUUCUUCCUACUUGGAUUAGUCAUAAUGUCAUUCCAUUUCGGGCUUUUCGUUGCAAGUUCAUCACUGUAGAUAUGAGAAUGAUCCUACUACCUUUCCUGUGUUGGCGAUUUUUUGACUAUUAACAGUCUGAAUGAUAUCUCAAUUUUACUUUUGGCAGAUUAGAUUCAUUGACAACACAGAUUUAUUAUCCUAUUGAAGAUGGAACACAAUCAGACUUGACCUACAACCUCCGGUGUAUGGGGAGGCCACGAGAGACUUGUAAGAAUCACCGUGAUACACAUGAUAUCAUUAAUUAAUGAUUUAAUAAUUUUUUGAAUGCUAUAUAAAAAACAUUGGUCGUAAGAAAGUGCAACUCAAUGCAACUCUUAUGAAAAGGUGUAAUUUUUAUUAGAAUGUGUAAUACUUAUGAAAAUGUGUGACUCUUAUGAAGAUACAAUAUGCUUUGAUGGAAGGC
RNAcentral lists this long non-coding RNA (9665 nucleotides) under Eucalyptus grandis. RNAcentral describes it as "long non-coding RNA (EGRA_LNC003883)". The record is from RNAcentral. Lineage: Eukaryota; Viridiplantae; Streptophyta; Magnoliopsida; Myrtales; Myrtaceae.